Long non-coding RNA from Panicum hallii, 820 nucleotides. RefSeq lists it as uncharacterized. The transcript is spliced from 2 exons. The record is from RefSeq and is a predicted model, not a curated record. NCBI's taxonomy places the organism in Eukaryota, Viridiplantae, Streptophyta, Magnoliopsida, Poales, Poaceae.
CAGUUUUAUCCCUGGUGCCUUAUCCUCCCACGAGCCUUUAUCCUCGCGCAAAAACAUCUCGCGCCGCUGCACUCCUGGCAGCCCGUGAACAGGCGACCGCCGACGGCGCAUUGAUUCUCCCCGGCGGCCGUCCCUCCCGGCAGUGGCCACGUUGGUGGCAAGCUUCCCCAGCGCACAGCCCUGCAGAGGCCCUCUGCUCCCCUCCCGCGGAGUGCAGGUCCGUCGCUCCACUGGCGCCCCUUUUGAGCGGCCAAUUCCGGCGGCGGCUCCGCAAGGUGGAGACUCCACUAUAUCUUAGCGAUAUUUUUCAGCAUGAGGCGGUCAAUCUUUCAUGGGUUCCUGACGGGCAAAGUCUUCUCCCAUUUUCUCCUAGGAUAAAGAAGAUAACAUUUGAACACACUCGUCACAGCACUGGAAAAGUUGAGGAGAAUAGCAUGGCAACCAACCAUUGGGUUAGGGAUAGGAUUCUUAAUUGGUUUGCAAAAACGAUCCUACAUUAGCAGCUGCAGCAUUGAAGAAAAGAUUGGAAGAAGAGUAUCACUUGCAGCUGUCAUAUUAGACUAUGCUAAACAAACAUGAAAGCAUCAUUUUGGAGCAUUAUGAUUGAAAACAUGUUAUUUUCUCUUGCUGCCCUUGCUACGGAAAUGCGACUGAAACAUGUGAUGUACUUGAUGCCGAAUGCGGAUGAAACCAUGUUAUUUUGCAUUGCUGAAUUUGAUAGCUAAAUAUGGAUGAACCAUGUGUUUUUCUAUUGUUGGAUAUGCUUUUGUUGCUAUUACAUGAUCUAUUUGAAGGGCAGGGGUAUUCUUGUCUAGAUUUA